GAAUUUCAACAUUCUCAGGGAAGAACAAUAGUUAAAAGAGGUAGUGAUUGAAGUUUUCAUACAAAUCAGAAGAGAUUUUAUUAAACACUUCAAAUUUACUUUUCUAAAACCUAAAAAUUGGUUUAAAAUGUUCAUCCCAACCCAACACAUGAAUUUUUUUCAAAACAACUUAAUUUUUAAUUUAAUCCCUUGAAAAAGUAUUCCAAACACA
Molecule: long non-coding RNA, 211 nt
Filed under: Cucumis sativus (cucumber)
Lineage: Eukaryota; Viridiplantae; Streptophyta; Magnoliopsida; Cucurbitales; Cucurbitaceae
Description: long non-coding RNA (CSAT_LNC000458)
Source: RNAcentral